CUUGUACCCUCUAUUAAAUUGUGAAGGAGUGUUGAUACGUGUUUCUUGUUUCCUAUGCUCUCACUGCAUUAGGUGUAUAAGUAUUGUGUCUGUAGUUACUUUAUAGUGUUAUUUUGAUCGUACAUCAUUUCAUUUGUUAAAGUUUGCAAUAAGUAAGAUUUUCUUCUUCUCUUUCUUCAACCUUGACUCAUCAAAUUUUUCAUGACGAGACCUCUUGUAGGAUGAAGGGCCAUUGAUAUUGAUGACUACUUCCCUCUUCCUUUGUGAAAAAAACCUUUAUCUUACUCUGCUGAUGGAUUAGUUUAUCUCUUGAUGUCUCCUCUGAAUUUCGAAAGCACUGGCUCUCAGUGCUUUACUUGAUUGGCUAACAUAGUGACAACAAAAUUAUUUUUAGGUCGCGCAUAAAUCUUCUUAUAUUUUGAUCUUGGCUAUUGAGGUUUUAAAUUCCUAUCUAAGAUUCCCGAGUUGAUAGUGUCAUCUUUUGAGAUGUUUUUACUCAAUCCCUUUGUGUGCGUGUUGUAGCAAUUUAGCUCUUCUUAGCUGGUUAGUCUCUACCUAGACUUAAAGGAUGUGCUGCCUUCUGUCUUUUAUCCUCAGUCUCUCUGGUCAGUCUUUUGUUGGCUUUCCCAUCGGUGCAUAGUACCUCACAUUCACCAUUUACUUGUCAAUUAUCUUUAUGCAGCCUUUGUCCCUUUUGUAUCUUCCCUGGAGAAAGUGCCUGGUUCUCACAACUCUUUUCUGAAAAUUGUAGGAAAUAUAGCCUUGUUUAGUAUGCUGGCUAUGUCCUACUUCAGCUUUCUACUCUGCCAAUGUUGUUUUCUAAAAUUGCUCUUUGCAUUUAUACAAUGAACAUAGACAGUUAACUCAGGCACUGACCUAGAAACGGAAAGACACUCAACUCUAGUUGCAUUGACAAGCUUUUACUUUCUGAUAAAGAAAAAAGGAAAACGAGAAGACUUUGUCAUCGGUAUCUUCAUUGUUUUCCAAAAGUUAGACAGUUAAAGCAAAGAAUUUGGCGAAUUAUUUAGCUAAAGUCUUCUGUUUUAUCAUUGUGUGUAGGACGCUCAAUGCACCUUUCAUAAUGGUUUGGCCCCAUCUUUAGUAGAUAAGGCAUGAAAUUAUUGUAAUUUAAAACUUCCCAGGUUGUAUGAUUUCAUACCUUAUGAAGUUAGAAGCACAGUUUUCUCUUUUGGUUUAAGAUUAUAAUACUAUAGCUUUUAACAUAUAGCAAUUACUCGGGCUGUAUUUUAAGAAAAUUUGUCAACUGUUGAAGUAUAAGUUUGUUAAAUUAUUCCUGUUCCUGGUGCUGUCUUGGCACUGAAGUUAUAAAUUUUCCUCCAUUUAACAAUCUGAAUCAUGAGCUGAAUGCUGAUAGUUUAAUGAGAUUUCCCAUAAGCAAAUGUAUUUAGCUUUUGAUUUUCAAGAUGGUUUACCCUGUGUGCACAUCUUUGGAGUGGUGGAAGAAAAACUUUCACUAUAAUUGUGUCUUAAGAGAAAGCUACUUCCAC
Rhodamnia argentea is the source of this 1508-nucleotide long non-coding RNA. RefSeq lists it as uncharacterized. The record is from RefSeq and is a predicted model, not a curated record. Lineage: Eukaryota; Viridiplantae; Streptophyta; Magnoliopsida; Myrtales; Myrtaceae. The transcript is spliced from 3 exons.